This 438-nucleotide long non-coding RNA is filed under the name Elaeis guineensis (African oil palm). RNAcentral describes it as "long non-coding RNA (EGUI_LNC068250)". Lineage: Eukaryota; Viridiplantae; Streptophyta; Magnoliopsida; Arecales; Arecaceae. The record is from RNAcentral.
GGAUUAACAUUAACUGGUCAAGUAUUUUCUUAUCUCUCAAUUCUACUAAUUAAAUUUUCUAAAAUUAUUAGGUCUCUAAAAAUAAAAUAGUUAUGGUGAUAACUAGAUCAUAACCUCCCAUUAAGUUGGGUGAUAAUGAGUCCAAUGAUUUAGAUGAAUAUUGGAGGCACCACACACCUGGUGCUCAUCUGGCUAUCAGAAUUAUCAUUCAUAAUAUGUUGUCUUAGUUGUGUCUUUCUGAUGAUGGUCAGGUUGGCCGAGCCACACUCGAGCCUGAUCACUCAUUUGUUAGAUACACUAAAUUUUGGCAUGUUAAUGGUUAACUAGAACUUACAGUGGAGGCACCACACGUCUGUUGAAGAGAUGUCUGGGAUAAAAUUGAAUACUAAAAAUUAUUUGAUAAAAUAAUUUGUUAAGGAUCCAUCCAUGGGUACACAA